CAGGGACUCCAGGGGCCCAGGCCCUAUCCUUCUGAUCUGAGAAGUGAGGGUGUCCAUAUCUCAUGGGCCCUGGGGCUCUUGAAAAUCAGGAGCCUUGCAGUAAAAACCAGCAGCCUAACAGCCAUCUGAGAGGACAGACAGGAACACAGAAGAAAACAAUCAGAGCAAAGCUAUAGGAAGCAGAAAAAAACCACAAAGGGAAAACACAUAGAAAAAAAUGGAGAGAAAAAAGAAUAUGUGCAAGAAAUUAGAUGAAGAAAAAGCAGAUAAUCCAGGAAUAUGUAGAUUUAAAAGUAUGAGAAGGAAGAUAAGAAGCCAGAGAGAGGAAGAGAAAUGGAGAGAGGUGAGGGGAGAAAAACGGUAAGGAAAAAAAGAAAACACAAAGAAAAGAUUUUUUUAUUUUUGGUUUAUCGAAUUUUCCUUCCCAGUAAAUGUUCCAGGAUGCCACAGUUAAUGAUGGCCACCUCUGUAAGUUAAUUUGCACUCAUGACUGGAAUUACCCAGGGGAAAGAAAAGGUGGAUUGACUCCAGGAUAAAGAACAAUGAAGAAUGUGAGAAAGAAAUGAACCAUAGGAGCUCAGUAACAAUCUUCUCCCUGAGAUUGGAAAUGAUCUACAUGUGGAAAAAUGUUGUUCCGUAACAACUCAGCCACACCUCCAGUCUUCCAAGCCACAGGUCUGAUCCCAUUCACUAACGCUUUCAAUUGCAGAAAUCUUUAAUGUGAGCUUUUGUGAAUUAUCUGGGACGGAGGACAAAGGGUCUAUGUGCUUUUCACCUGAGCCAACUGGAGAAAAGACAAAAGAAGAUAAUCCUUCUACAUUCCAGAUGGUAAUGUGGUCAGCACAGGCUCUGAAGAGAGAAAUAUUCUGGGGUUUGACUCUUGGACCAUUUAUAAGACCCUGGACUUUGGAUAGUUACACAGCCCCAGUUUCUUCUCUUUAAAAGAGGGACAGUGAUGGGUUCUACCUCCUGACAGUUGGUUUCAUUAAAUGAGAUAAUUGAUUAAAUGAGAUAAUGUAAAGUGCUUAGCAUAAUUCCCGGCUAUAGUAAGUGCUCG
Odocoileus virginianus texanus is the source of this 1057-nucleotide long non-coding RNA. RefSeq lists it as uncharacterized. Lineage: Eukaryota; Metazoa; Chordata; Mammalia; Artiodactyla; Cervidae. The record is from RefSeq and is a predicted model, not a curated record.